AGAGUUAAAUAGUACGUGAAAUUGUUGAAAGGGAAACGAUUGAAGUCAGUCAUGCUAGUAGGGAAUCAACUUGACGGAUCGUAGGACUUAUCUUAUGAUCUAUCUUGUGCACUUUCUUGCUUGGCAGGUUAGCAUCAAUUUCGGGUAUCAUUAAAAAAUUGAGGGAAUGUAGCUUUCUUUCGGGAAAGUGUUAUAGACCUUAAUAAAAUGUGGUGACCGAGAUUGAGGAUUGCAGCGGAUACCUCUUAAGGCUAGUCACCUUGCUUCUGACAGUUACCCUGCUUUCGAGAGCUUGCUCACGAUUGUGGGAUUCAACAGUCUAGAUGUUAGAGUGAUCUUAAAUUCGCUAAGGAUGCUGACGUAAUGGCUUUAAACGACC
RNAcentral lists this ribosomal RNA (379 nucleotides) under Acaulospora kentinensis. RNAcentral's name for it is "partial large subunit ribosomal RNA". The record is from RNAcentral. Lineage: Eukaryota; Fungi; Glomeromycota; Glomeromycetes; Diversisporales; Acaulosporaceae.